UUCCCCACCAUAUAUGAUUUAUCCAUGCUAUUUUGAAUUAUGGUGAUUUCCAUCCUUACCUUUCCAGUCUACAUAUGCUCCCAAGACAGCAUUAAGAUUUAUUUGGAAUGGUAAACCAGGAGAUGUAGGAAGAACCUGCCCCACAUCUAACAUGAGGAAUAAAUACAGAAAUAUACCUGGUCUUGGAUAUUUUUGAUCUUCUGCUUGGUAGCGGAUUGCUCAGACUGGUCAUCUGAUUCGUCAAACAAUCUAUCUAGACCUUGUACUUGCAGUUCAACCUGAAAGAAAGAAAAGAAAAGAAAGAAAGAAAGAAAGAAAGAAAGAAAGAAAGAAAGAAAGAAAGAAAGAAAGAAAGAAAAGUAUUAUGUGUGAAGUGACAUGGAUGUAGUAUGCUGGGUCCCUGAUCUUUGUUAUAGUCUUCAUGUGAGAGUACACAAAGCUGGCAAUAUGGACAUUCUCCUCAUACAGCAUUGCAUUGGCCAUGGCUGUCACUAUAGAUAGAGAAGGGGCACUGUCUAGGAGGACAAUGCAAGCCAUUACUCGGACGGGCUCACAGCGUGAAACAUCCAUAAAGAUCUGAAGGAGUAAACCUUGAACC
Non-coding RNA from Thamnophis sirtalis, 598 nucleotides. Lineage: Eukaryota; Metazoa; Chordata; Lepidosauria; Squamata; Natricidae. The record is from RefSeq and is a predicted model, not a curated record.